UACGUAGGUGAUAAGCGUUAUUCGGAUUUACUGGGCGUAAAGGGUCCGUAGGGGGACUUUUAAGUCUGAUGUGAAAUUUCGGGGCUCAACCCCGAACCUGCAUUGGAAACUGAAAGUCUUGAGUAUCAUAGAGGUAAGCGGAAUUUGUGGUGUAGCGGUGGAAUGCGUAGAUAUCACAAGGAAGACCAAAGGCGAAAGCAGCUUACUGGGUGGUAACUGACCCUGAUGGACGAAAGCUAAGGUAGCGAAAAGG
This 253-nucleotide ribosomal RNA is filed under the name uncultured bacterium. RNAcentral describes it as "partial 16S ribosomal RNA". It matches the Rfam family "Bacterial small subunit ribosomal RNA", at positions 524 to 776 of the family's 1533-position model. The record is from RNAcentral.